This 348-nucleotide ribosomal RNA is filed under the name uncultured bacterium. RNAcentral's name for it is "bacterial SSU rRNA". It matches the Rfam family "Bacterial small subunit ribosomal RNA", at positions 917 to 1267 of the family's 1533-position model. The record is from RNAcentral.
GGGCCCGCACAAGCGGUGGAGCAUGUGGUUUAAUUCGAAGCAACGCGAAGAACCUUACCUACUCUUGACAUCCAGUGAACUUGGUAGAGAUACCUUGGUGCCUUCGGGAACACUGAGACAGGUGCUGCAUGGCUGUCGUCAGCUCGUGUUGUGAAAUGUUGGUUAAGUCCCGUAACGAGCGCAACCCUUGUCCUUAGUUACCAUCAUUAAGUUGGGGACUCUAAGGAGACUGCCGGUGACAAACCGGAGGAAGGCGGGACGACGUCAAGUCAUCAUGGCCCUUACGAGUAGGGCUACACACGUGCUACAAUGGCCGGUACAAAGGGUUGCCCAAAGCGCAAGCUGGAG